GUCCCCUCUUUCCAGUCGGUUUGACAUUUGGAUCGAAUUCGACACACACUCGACUCGCCGAUGUUUGCAGCUUUCAUUAUCUAUCUGCCACCAAAAUGGCCGCCCAUGUCUCUCUGUAGUGUCUUAAGUAGCAGGAGCCACACACACGCACACAGACCAGGCUAUAGGAAUCGGGACCGAAAAAUAUAUCAUAUCAUUACAUCACCACCACACCCAUUCCGGACGGCCUUUCUCUCUCUAUGUGUGUGUGUCUGCCUGGUAGGAGCUCUUUUGGCUAGGGCCCGCGCCAGCUGGACCCGGAGUUUGUUGCAAUGGUCGAGUGUGUGUUGUAACUGGGCAAUAUCUGGGAAA
Molecule: long non-coding RNA, 351 nt
Organism: Daphnia pulicaria
Lineage: Eukaryota; Metazoa; Arthropoda; Branchiopoda; Diplostraca; Daphniidae
Exons: 3
Source: RefSeq, a predicted model, not a curated record